RNAcentral lists this ribosomal RNA (919 nucleotides) under Bambusicola dimorpha. RNAcentral's name for it is "eukaryotic LSU rRNA". It matches the Rfam family "Eukaryotic large subunit ribosomal RNA", at positions 36 to 973 of the family's 3401-position model. Lineage: Eukaryota; Fungi; Ascomycota; Dothideomycetes; Pleosporales; Bambusicolaceae. The record is from RNAcentral.
UAGCAUAUCAAUAAGCGGAGGAAAAGAAACCAACAGGGAUUGCCCCAGUAACGGCGAGUGAAGCGGCAACAGCUCAAAUUUGAAAUCUGGCCCCCCAGGGGGUCCGAGUUGUAAUUUGCAGAGGGUGCUUUGGCGUCGGUGGCAGUCUAAGUUCCUUGGAACAGGACAUCGCAGAGGGUGAGAAUCCCGUAUGUGGCCGCCAACCUUCGCCGUGUAAAGCCCCUUCGACGAGUCGAGUUGUUUGGGAAUGCAGCUCUAAAUGGGAGGUAAAUUUCUUCUAAAGCUAAAUACCGGCCAGAGACCGAUAGCGCACAAGUAGAGUGAUCGAAAGAUGAAAAGCACUUUGGAAAGAGAGUCAAAUAGCACGUGAAAUUGUUGAAAGGGAAGCGCUUGCAGCCAGACUUGCCCGCGGUCGCUCACCCAGGCUCUCGCCUGGGGCACUCUUCCGCGGGCAGGCCAGCAUCAGUUUGGGCGGCCGGACAAAGACCUCUGUCAUGUAUCUUCCUUCGGGAUGACCUUAUAGGGGAGGUGUAAUGCGGCCAGCCCGGACUGAGGUCCGCGCCUUUGGCUAGGAUGCUGGCGUAAUGGCUGUAAGCGGCCCGUCUUGAAACACGGACCAAGGAGUCUAACAUCUAUGCGAGUGUUUGGGUGUCAAGCCCGGGCGCGCAAUGAAAGUGAACGGAGGUGGGAACCCUCGGGUGCACCAUCGACCGAUCCUGAUGUCUUCGGAUGGAUUUGAGUAAGAGCAUAGCUGUUGGGACCCGAAAGAUGGUGAACUAUGCUUGAAUAGGGUGAAGCCAGAGGAAACUCUGGUGGAGGCUCGCAGCGGUUCUGACGUGCAAAUCGAUCGUCAAAUUUGGGCAUAGGGGCGAAAGACUAAUCGAACCAUCUAGUAGCUGGUUCCUGCCGAUUUCCCCCU